UCCGUAGGUGAACCUGCGGAAGGAUCAUUAUUGCCAAUCAUUCAACUAGCACGCUCUCGGGCGUGCUAUGUUAUAAACAUACACACAUAAAUAAAAAAUGAAAAUUUUCAACGGUGGAUAUCUCGGUUCUCAUAACGAGGAAGAACGCAGCGAACUGCGAUAAGCAAUGCGAAUUGCAGGACCCGCGAGUCAUCAGAUUUUUGAACGUAAUAAACGUCAAGGGGGAAAUCCUCUUGACAUGUUUGCUUCAGUGUUGAAAUUAUCUCUACCUUAAUGUGAUUGAAUGCGCCUGUGCGCAUUCUCUCAUCAAAAAGGAAUGCUUUGCAUUCGCGUCCAAUGAAGUAGUCACCUCUGCGCAAGCAGAAAGUGAGUUCAUUGGUAAUUCGAAUGAGAAAGCAUAGAGCUCAGCGUCUUUGAAAAUAAUUAAAACCUGAAGUAAGCAAGACUACCCGCUGAACUUAA
RNAcentral lists this ribosomal RNA (462 nucleotides) under uncultured fungus. RNAcentral describes it as "eukaryotic LSU rRNA". The stretch from base 103 to 256 matches the Rfam family "5.8S ribosomal RNA". Lineage: Eukaryota; Fungi. The record is from RNAcentral.